RNAcentral lists this ribosomal RNA (253 nucleotides) under uncultured bacterium. Its description in RNAcentral is "partial 16S ribosomal RNA". It matches the Rfam family "Bacterial small subunit ribosomal RNA", at positions 524 to 776 of the family's 1533-position model. The record is from RNAcentral.
GACGUAGGGUGCGAGCGUUGUCCGGAUUUAUUGGGCGUAAAGAGCUCGUAGGCGGCUCGUCGCGUCAGCUGUGAAAUCCCGUGGCUUAACUGCGGGCUUGCAGCUGAUACGGGCGGGCUAGAGUUCGGUAGGGGAGACUGGAAUUCCUGGUGUAGCGGUGAAAUGCGCAGAUAUCAGGAGGAACACCGGUGGCGAAGGCGGGUCUCUGGGCCACUACUGACGCUGAGAAGCGAAAACAUGGGGAGCGAACAGG